Molecule: non-coding RNA, 742 nt
Organism: Macaca mulatta (Rhesus monkey)
Lineage: Eukaryota; Metazoa; Chordata; Mammalia; Primates; Cercopithecidae
Source: RefSeq, a predicted model, not a curated record
CCUAGAUGCUGGGACCACAGGCAUGUGCGAAUUUUUUUUAUGUUUUGUAGAGACAGGGUCUCGCCAUGAACGUUUGUGUCUCGUGAAAUUCAUAUGUUGAGAUUCUCCUCCAGGGAGAUAUUAGGAGAUGGAACAAGAGGGUGGAGCUUUUAUGGGAGGGAUUAGGUCAUGAGGGUGAAGCCCUCAUGAGUGGAAUUAGUGCUCUUAUUAAAAAGGCCUGAGAGAGGUCCCUUACCCCUUCUGCCAUGUGAGGUUACUGUGAGAUGAUGGCUGUGAGAUGAUGAUGAGGAACUGGCCCUCAUCAAACACCAGAUCUUCUAGUGCCUUGAUCUUGGACUUCCUAUCUCCAGAAUUGUGAGAAAAGAAUUUCUUUUGUUUAAAAGACGCCUGGUCAAAGGUAUUUUAUCACAGUAGCCUGUGCAGACUAAGACAAAUAGUUUCUCUGUAUCUCUACCAUAAAUUUCUUAUAUUUCUUUUUAGUGGCACCUGGCUCCAUGUCCUGUAUAUGUCUGACUCCUAGAGGCCAGAGAGGCCAGGGAACUUCCUUGUACUAAGGAAUAAGAAAUACAUUGGUGAAAGGAGACCUGUCAAGGCCAAGAGUGGGGGAUACUGCCAUGGAACAUGGAUCUCUAGUAUCAAAAGGGAUGAUGGAAUUCCAGAAUACCAGAAGCCAAAUGAUAACACCCAGCUAACAGAGCAAAGCUUCCUCAUUUUCUCUUGCCACCACCAUGUAAGAAGUGCC